UACAGGGGGUGCAAGCGUUGUUCGGAAUCACUGGGCGUAAAGGGAGCGUAGGCGGAACCAUAAGUCAGAGGUUAAAUCUCCGGGCUCAACCCGGAACUUGCCUUUGAGACUGUGGUUCUUGAGUAUGGUAGAGGUUAGUGGAAUUUCCGGUGUAGCGGUGGAAUGCGUAGAGAUCGGAAAGAACACCAGAGGCGAAGGCGACUAACUGGACCAAUACUGACGCUGAGGCUCGAAAGCGUGGGGAGCAAACAGG
Molecule: ribosomal RNA, 253 nt
Filed under: uncultured bacterium
Lineage: Bacteria
Description: partial 16S ribosomal RNA
Rfam family: Bacterial small subunit ribosomal RNA
Source: RNAcentral